CUCCUACGGGAGGCAGCAGUGGGGAAUAUUGCACAAUGGGGGAAACCCUGAUGCAGCCAUGCCGCGUGUGUGAAGAAGGCCUUCGGGUUGUAAAGCACUUUCAGUAGGGAGGAAAGGGUGAGUCUUAAUACGGCUCAUCUGUGACGUUACCUACAGAAGAAGGACCGGCUAACUCCGUGCCAGCAGCCGCGGUAAUACGGAGGGUCCGAGCGUUAAUCGGAAUUACUGGGCGUAAAGCGCACGCAGGCGGUUGGAUAAGUUAGAUGUGAAAGCCUCGGGCUCAACCUGGGAAUUGCAUUUAAAACUGUCCAGC
This 313-nucleotide ribosomal RNA is filed under the name uncultured Gammaproteobacteria bacterium. RNAcentral's name for it is "bacterial SSU rRNA". It matches the Rfam family "Bacterial small subunit ribosomal RNA", at positions 336 to 641 of the family's 1533-position model. Lineage: Bacteria; Pseudomonadati; Pseudomonadota; Gammaproteobacteria. The record is from RNAcentral.